This 1466-nucleotide small RNA is filed under the name Pongo abelii (Sumatran orangutan). RNAcentral's name for it is "retained intron". Lineage: Eukaryota; Metazoa; Chordata; Mammalia; Primates; Hominidae. The record is from RNAcentral.
AGCGCUGGGGGGCAGAGGAGCGGAGUUAAGGCAGAAGCCAGUCAGGAUGGUGGUGCCUUCGCUGAAGCUUCAGGACCUCAUCGAAGAGAUUCGCGGGGCCAAGACUCAGGCCCAGGAGCGGGAGGUGAUCCAAAAGGAGUGUGCCCACAUCCGGGCCUCCUUCCGCGACGGGGACCCAGUGCACAGGCACCGGCAGCUGGCCAAACUGCUCUACGUCCACAUGUUGGGCUACCCCGCCCACUUUGGACAGUGACCUGAGCCAGGGGAUUCAGCCAGUACAAGGCCUGGCCUUGUGCACUUUGAGCACCAUGGGCUCUGCUGAGAUGUGCCGAGACCUGGCCCCAGAAGUGGAGAAACUGCUCCUGCAGCCCAGUCCCUACGUGCGCAAGAAGGCUAUUCUGACUGCAGUGCACAUGAUCCGGAAGGUCCCUGAACUCUCCAGUGUCUUCCUCCCACCCUGUGCUCAACUGCUUCAUGAGCGUCACCAUGGUAAGGCUGUGGGGCUCCCCAUCCUUUGCUUCAGCUCUAUGGACAGAAGAAUUGAAAAUCGGAUGGGAACCCCAGCUCACAGGAGAAGGGUAGUGCACACACACAGGCACACACGCAAUAGACUCUCUUGCCCCUGGCCCCCACCAUUCACUUCCCCGACCCUGACCCCAGGCAUCCUGCUGGGCACCAUCACGCUGAUCACGGAGCUCUGCGAACGAAGCCCUGCAGCCCUCAGGCACUUCCGAAAGGUGGUACCCCAGCUGGUACAGAUCCUCCGGACUCUGGUGACAACGGGAUACUCCACAGAACACAGCAUAUCUGGAGUCAGCGACCCCUUCCUGCAGGUGGGGUGACCUUUCACUGCUGUAUCCCUGGAUCAGAGAGGGCAUAGCAGUAAGACCAUGACCAGUGGUUUCCUCCCAGAGAACACUGGUUCUCUCAGUGUCCUGGGCAGCAGAGUAGCAGGCACAGGAUUGCUCAGGUCAUCUUAGGACCUGUGAGGGGAGAGGGAAUGCCUAAAAGUCAGGAAAAUACAGUUUGGUAACAAUUUUUUUAAGCCUGUCCUAAACUCCCCUGGCCUCACACACCUCUGUUCCCCUCCCACGACCAAGGGACCUAUGGAGGUGAGGAGGUGGGGGAAGACUCUAGGGAGCGAGCCAGACCCUCACAGUGCUGUCCUCCAUGUUGGAGUUUUCUCCUCAGCCCCGUGACUUGUUAUCCUAUGAACCCCUCCAACUUUCCAUUUUCAACCCAACCUCAGGUCCAGAUACUUCGUCUGCUUCGGAUCCUGGGCCGGAACCAUGAGGACAGCAGUGAGACCAUGAAUGACUUGCUGGCCCAGGUGGGGCCUGGGAGGGCACUGGUUAGCUGUGUUGCUUGGAGACCCCACCAGCCCUGGGUGCCCCUCACAUGACUCCUCACUGUGCAGUGGCCAUAUAAUUGCCUCUCCAUCUCCUCUAGACAGUGAACUCCAUGAA